Molecule: ribosomal RNA, 370 nt
Filed under: uncultured organism
Description: bacterial SSU rRNA
Rfam family: Bacterial small subunit ribosomal RNA
Source: RNAcentral
GAGGGGGCAAGCGUUGUUCGGAAUUACUGGGCGUAAAGGGCGCGUAGGCGGCCUGUUAAGUCGAACGUGAAAUCCCCGGGCUCAACCCGGGAACUGCGUCCGAUACUGGCAGGCUUGAAUCCGGGAGAGGGAUGUGGAAUUCCAGGUGUAGCGGUGAAAUGCGUAGAUAUCUGGAGGAACACCGGUGGCGAAGGCGGCAUCCUGGACCGGUAUUGACGCUGAGGCGCGAAAGCCAGGGGAGCAAACGGGAUUAGAUACCCCGGUAGUCCUGGCCCUAAACGAUGAAUGCUUGGUGUGGCGGGUAUCGAUCCCUGCCGUGCCGAAGCUAACGCAUUAAGCAUUCCGCCUGGGGAGUACGGUCGCAAGGCUG